RNAcentral lists this ribosomal RNA (93 nucleotides) under Melinis repens. Its description in RNAcentral is "partial 26S ribosomal RNA". It matches the Rfam family "Eukaryotic large subunit ribosomal RNA", at positions 1 to 90 of the family's 3401-position model. The record is from RNAcentral. RNAcentral also lists the same sequence under 11 other names. Lineage: Eukaryota; Viridiplantae; Streptophyta; Magnoliopsida; Poales; Poaceae.
CCGCGACCCCAGGUCAGGCGGGACUACCCGCUGAGUUUAAGCAUAUAAAUAAGCGGAGGAGAAGAAACUUACAAGGAUUCCCCUAGUAACGGC